RNAcentral lists this long non-coding RNA (1078 nucleotides) under Eucalyptus grandis. Its description in RNAcentral is "long non-coding RNA (EGRA_LNC000861)". The record is from RNAcentral. Lineage: Eukaryota; Viridiplantae; Streptophyta; Magnoliopsida; Myrtales; Myrtaceae.
GGCUUCUGGGUGCGGCAAUCUAAUUGAAAUUCAAGGUCUUGAUGGCGCGAAGUCCUUAGAAGAGUUGGAUUUUACAGGAUGCAAAUCAAUGGAGACUUUGCCAGAUUUGACGAGAUGUGAGAAAUUACGAUCUCUAAGAGUUUGAGACUGCAAGAAACUUGCUCAGCUUUGGGGACUUGAAAUGUUGAAUUUAACUUAUUUGGAUAUUUCUGGUUGUGACUCAUUGGAAGCAAUACCUAACUUAUUAUUAUAUGAAUGCAAGUGUCCCAAUCUAGUUGAAAUUCAAGGUCUUGACGGUGCGAAGUUCUUAGAAGAGUUGGAUCUUACAGGAUGCAAAUCAAUGAAGACUUUGCCAGAUUUGACAGGAUUUGAGAAGCUACAAUUUCUAAUAGUUCAAGACUGCAAGAAACUUACUCAUCUUCGGGGACUUAAAAUGUUGAAUUUAAUUUAUUUGAAUAUUUCUGGUUGUGACUCAUUGGAAGGAAUACCUAAAUUAUUUUUAUAUGAAUGCAAGCGUUUGGAGACAUUCAAGGCUUCUAGGUGCGGCAAUCUAAUUGAAAUUCAAGGUCUCGACGGUGCGAAGUCCUUAGAAGAGUUGGAUUUUACAGGAUGCAAAUCAAUGGAGACUUUGCCAGAUUUGACAGGAUGUGAGAAAUUACGAUCUCUAAGAGUUCAAGACUGCAAGAAACUUACUCAGCUUCGGGGACUUAAAAUGUUGAAUUUAACUUAUUUGGAUAUUUCUGGUUGUGACUCAUUGGAAGCAAUACCUAAAUUAUUUUUAUAUGAAUGCAAGCGUUUGAAGACAUUCAAGGCUUUUGGGUGCGGCAAUCUAGUUGAAAUUCAAGGUCUUGACGGUGCGAAGUUCUUAGAAACGUUGGAUCUUACAGGAUGCAAAUCAAUGGAGGCUUUGCCAGAUUUGAUAGGAUUUGAGAAGCUACGAUCUCUAAUAGUUCGAGACUGCAAGAAACUUGCUCAGCUUCGGGGGCUUGAAAUGUUGAAUUUAACUUAUUUGGAUAUUUCUGGUUAUGACUCAUUGGAAGCAAUACCUAACUUAUCUGGAACACGCGUCAAUAGAAAU